This is a long non-coding RNA of Lolium rigidum, 3520 nucleotides long. RefSeq lists it as uncharacterized. NCBI's taxonomy places the organism in Eukaryota, Viridiplantae, Streptophyta, Magnoliopsida, Poales, Poaceae. The record is from RefSeq and is a predicted model, not a curated record. The transcript has 4 exons.
CAAGUAAUACUUUUCCUCUCGCGUCACGCGACUUCUCCCUUCUCCUCGAUUCUGGCCCGGCGGCGCAUCAUCGCGUCCCCACCCCGUACCUCCUCUUCUCCCCUUUUCCCACGGCCAGUCCUCGUCGUCGGAUCCCUGCCGGAAGAGGAGGGGAGAGAAUGGUGGGCUCAGUCUCUGCGGCCGUCGUCCUGGUGAUGAAGGGGACCAUGUCCUUGCGGCGCCGAUGCAGUGGGGCGGGUUCCCAACGAUGAGAUGACGUGGUGCGAAGGGGGUGGCACGACGGCGGUGGGGAAGCAAUGGCGGCAGCGGUGAUGCAGGUAGGCGGGUUGCUGGUGGCGGGGAUUCAGGGAGGCGGCUGGGUGGUGAAACCCUAGCAGGGAGGCAUGGUUGGCUCGUCCGGUCGUCCCUAAGCAUCGGUGGUUGCCUCCCGCGCGGCUGCCAAACAAUCCAGGAUGGUUUCCUUCGCCGCCACUUUCAGGGAGGAAGAGAGAGUGUGUGCUUUGCUCCCUCGUUUUUUUGAUGCAUAUUUCUCUAUUCUUGUUUCUCAUCCGUGCGCAGGUGGAUCGGAUGCUGCGCGUGGUCGUCUCGGUUGGGGCUUCACAUGCAAGGUGCACCUGGUCGGCAACAUCCUUUAUGGUGGUUGGUCACAGAUUUGAUGUCAUUGACGGUAUAGCUUUUACAUAUUUGGGGAUAGGUUGCUUCUGUAAACAUGAUGGUUUGAUUUCUGCAUCAUCACUUGACCUCCUGCAUAUUGGAUUUAAUGGAUAAACUUAUAAAUGUUGGAUUUCCGCAGACAUUAGUUGAGGUUAGAUAACCUCCAUUUCAUCUUAUACUCCCUAUUUGAAAAUCUUCGUUUUACUUACGAUUACCACGUAUCUAAUUUUUAGUUGUUGAUCCAUAUUUUGGUAGUUGAGACCAAUUCAUCAAACCCUCAGAGUAAGAAGUUAAGACAUACUCUUUGUGUAUUUAAUAUAAUUCCCGAAAAUAAUCAUGUGCUAUCAAAAUGCACUAUCCACCGGAUUCUAUGUUAUUUUUCUCUAUCCAGAUUUGAUCACUCAUAUGCAUACAAGGGCACCUCAUACAAAGAAAGUUAAUUAUUUUUUCUAUCUCGUUGUGUGAGGGACAAAGUUAAUUAGUUUUACUGUUAAAUAGUAGCUCGCGCUGCCUCUUGUUAUGACGUGGUGUUGUAGGUCAGAAGAGUAAUUAGGUAGGUUUAAGCUAAGUUCAGGGUGAACAAUAUAUAAAUUUCAGGUUUACAGAUUACAACUAUAGUUUGAAGUCUACGCAGUUGUGGAGAGAUGGGGCAAGAAAAAAGUGCAGAUCAGUCUAAACUUAUAGGAAUGUUGAUGCCCGUCUGUCACAAAAAAGAGAUGAGUGAUAUCAAGUAGGGCCAUUUGUUUUUGUCCUAAUUUUCAUUUGUAACCUUAUAUAUAAUAUUGAGGCAUAUUAAUUUGUAUAAUAAAUUUUCAAGAUGCAUCCCGAAAUAUUAGACACAAGGUGUGGUUGAAUGUUUGCUAUAUUUAGAUUCUUAUAACCUUUCCGUCAAACUUUUUUAAGGUGUGCACAUUUAUAGGAUCAUUUCUGAUGGCAUUACAACAGCUGUCGUGUCCGCAUCGCUGAUGGCACAAACGGCUGUGACAUCCAUAUUUUCGACAGGUCAGCAUUGGCGCGACAUCUAGGACUUGGAGAUUGCUGACACGGAGGAAUAGAUCAGAUUUAUGAAGACUUAAGAGACUUUGGUAUCUAUCAAAGUGACAUGAUGUGGUUGCUUCUCGCUAUGUUUGAGGACAGACAACAGUUUCGUGCAUGCAGUGAAUUUCCCAGUUUUCGCAUGUAGCAAGUAGAAGCAUGGGCUGACCUUGAUAAAGUGAGAUUGUUUACCACUGCAGAAGGUGGUUUAUAUUCCUAAUUCAGGAUUUGUGCCAUUGCCAUUGUUCUGCUAGCUUCUUUAAUCUAUCACUAUGAAAGAUAUGGCUUCCCUCCAUAAUCAGAUGGUUUUCAUACUGAUUUACUUUCUUUCGGUUAUGGCUCUGAUACUUGAGCCGUUUCGCCGCCGGUCAUCACUGCUGCCGCGCUAUUGAAGUUAUCGGAAAGUACUUGUUGAGGCUAGCAAACAUGCAUUGAUUGUGUGUUAUCAUACAAUUGUAAGUUCAAUUUUCAGAGGCAAUCUCAUAAGUAAGAAGGUUGUACUGAGCUGUUUGUGUUUCUGUAGUAGGGGAAUGCAUCCAAUAUUUGUAUUAGACUGGUCAGAUACAUCAGCCUCAGAUCAAGGUAAUAUAACUUCUCAGUGUUUUUACGUGAAAAAUGCUGCUUCUCGCCUGAUUUAGAUCCGCUGUUAUAAUUCUUAUCUAUGUUUGGAUGCCCUAUUUGGAGUGAUUAUGAUGGGGCAUGUGAGGGUUUGGACAAAAUCCCUCGGUAACAAAGGAAUAUGAAUCAUGGAUAAUAAAGACAGCUGCACUUUUGGUACUCUUUCCUUCUUUGUUUUGGUACAAAGACGGGCAAAACUGCCUUUAUGAAUGUUAAGACCUUACCAAUUUUGAGCAAAAGCACAACCAAAUUGGCAAGUGACACAUGCCCAUGUUCAGGCUUACCUACAAAUUGGUACCUCUAAGUUAAUAGCUUGUGCAGAUAAUAUGUUACUACAUCGAUUCACACUCUUCGAGUCACAUGGAAAGAGACAUGCAACAUAUUAUUUUAAUCUACAUUCUGCUUUUCUAUUUUUACACUAGAAUAUUCAUAGUGCUAAGCCAAGUUCAUGAGUUAUAAUAUCAGGUUCUUGCCACAAUCUGUGAGGAGCUUUCUGAAGAUAGUAUUUUGCUCAUAUGUAUAUUAGUAUUAUGUUUCUUUUUUAUCUGGCACCUUAUUUAUGCUGCACUCUUCUUUUGAUCAUUUUUCUCCCCUAAUUUACACCAUUACACUUCCAUGAUUUGCUGAGCAGAGUGCUUUUCACAGCGGACUCGCAACUAAACAAUGACUUCUGGCGACUGUACAACAAAUUUUGUUGACUAAUGCUGAGUUGCAGGGCUGGUGACUCAGUUUUGAGCCGUGACUCAAAUACCUUGUUCAAAUGUAUGCAUCUAGCCCCUCAUCAAGUGCAAGACCCGCUUCUGCUUUCUCCAUAGAUAAGCCUUAUUCACAUAUGGGUUCAGAUCGUUAUCUAGGGCUUGUUCCUUCCAUUUGGUCAUUAUCUCUGUGACUCUGUCCAUGUUUUUGAUGUUGGUUUCAGAGCUGUCAUAAAAGUUCACUCUGUAAAUAUAGUUGUCCAUAUGAUGGUUGGAUGAUUAUAAUUCACUAUUUGAUAGUUAGAUGGUGUUGCAAUAACUCUAGCCAAAGAAUGGUCUGGCUGGCAUGCAACUAUUUUUUUUUUUGCAUCCACAUUCCCACCAUAGAUGUGAAUUAUGCAAAUGCUCAUGUUGAAAUGGUGAUGUGUAAUACACUAUUGAAUUGUAUUGAAGUAAACCUUUUUUUAUCUGCAAAACAAAAUCCACAAGGAGCAGGCUCACACAGCCACUUUCAUGUA